GUUUUACGUUCCCUGCCCUUUGUACACACCGCCCGUCGCUACUACCGAUUGAAUGGCUCAGUGAGGCGUCCGGACUGGCCCAGAGAGGCGGGCAACUGCCACUCAGGGCCGGAAAGCUCUCCAAACUCGGUCAUUUAGAGGAAGUAAAAGUCGUAACAAGGUCUCCGUUGGUGAACCAGCGGAGGGAUCAUUA
This 193-nucleotide ribosomal RNA is filed under the name Calonectria pacifica. RNAcentral describes it as "partial 18S ribosomal RNA". It matches the Rfam family "Eukaryotic small subunit ribosomal RNA", at positions 1642 to 1831 of the family's 1831-position model. Lineage: Eukaryota; Fungi; Ascomycota; Sordariomycetes; Hypocreales; Nectriaceae. The record is from RNAcentral.